Long non-coding RNA from Amphiprion ocellaris (clown anemonefish), 339 nucleotides. The record is from Ensembl. NCBI's taxonomy places the organism in Eukaryota, Metazoa, Chordata, Actinopteri, Pomacentridae.
CUGACACCGUACGUCCCAUCAGUCCAACCAAGGUGUUUGAAUUUUCAUCCAUCCUCUGGAUGUUCUGGAGCAUAGCAGUGGUCAGGUCUUGGUCUCUGGAUGUUCUGGAGCAUGGCAGUGGUCAGGUCUUGGUCUCUGGAUGUUCUGGAGCAUGGCAGAGGUCAGGUCUUGGUCUCUGGAUGUUCUGGAGCAUGGCAGAGGUCAGGUCUUGGUGUCUCCUCAACUGUUCCUCUGACCUCUCCAGAUACUGCAGCAGAUCCACAGUAGCAUCCCGCUUCCUUUUUCCUGCAUAAAAGCACCCAAAAAGUCUAAACAGAUCUUACUUGAUUUGGUCUGUUG